Molecule: ribosomal RNA, 253 nt
Filed under: uncultured bacterium
Lineage: Bacteria
Description: partial 16S ribosomal RNA
Rfam family: Bacterial small subunit ribosomal RNA
Source: RNAcentral
UACGUAGGUGGCAAGCGUUGUCCGGAAUUACUGGGUGUAAAGGGCGUGUAGGCGGGGAAGCAAGUCAGAUGUGAAACCCCAUGGCUCAACCAUGGGCUUGCAUCUGAAACUGUAUCUCUUGAGUGUUGGAGAGGAAAGUGGAAUUCCUAGUGUAGCGGUGAAAUGCGUAGAGAUUAGGAGGAACACCAGUGGCGAAGGCGACUUUCUGGCCAGCAACUGACGCUGAGGCGCGAAAGCGUGGGGAGCAAACAGG